CCCACUUGGCCACUUCCGUCUCCUCUCGGCUCGGCGGCCGCCUCCGCCCCACUCUUCCCCCACUUCUCCCCCAAGAAAAAGCCGAAUCAUGGACACCACCGGCGCCGCAGCCGCCGCCGCCGGCGGAGGCGGAGGCAGCGAGGAGGAGGACCAGGCCCGCCUGGCCGCCAUCACCGACAACCUCAAGGCCCGUGACUCGAUCCGGCUAUAUACCUGGCUCUCGCACCGGUGCUUCUCCGACUGCGUCACCACCUUCUACCGCAAGACGCUGGGCAAGCGCGAGGGGGACUGCGUCCGCGCCUGCGUCCGCAAGUACCAGCUCGCCACCGCCGCGUCCGCCGCCCGCUUCAACAAGCUCGCCGACCCCUCCGCCGCCGCCGCCGACGCCGACGAGGAUGACUGAUCCGUGCGGCCCUGUGCUCCACUCCACUGUCGGCUGGGGGAACUUUUUUGCCUGCUCUGGGUACUUGGAUCUAAAAUGAAGAUUUAGUUAUCCAGGUUAAGUCGCUCCAGGUUCUUGUUGCAGUCUCAUCAACUCUCAGCAUCAGUAUCCAGGACAGUAUCAUCGCAAAUUCACAGUAGUCCGAUAAGAGAUUUUAUUAUAAGCUUGAUGUUCCUUUUCGUUGACUUAUCACUGUUAAACAGAGACCUCUGAGCUGAUACUCUGCAUGUAAGCACACAAACAAUAAUCCUAUAAGACAGCUCAUCAACUCUGAUCCAGAAGUUUUAAGUUUCUGAAAAGAUACAACCAUUUAAUUAUGUGAGUGAAUAGAAGAAUGGGGGACUGGA
Triticum aestivum (bread wheat) is the source of this 789-nucleotide RNA transcript. It is a transcript of the gene named mitochondrial import inner membrane translocase subunit Tim9, with no coding region annotated. The record is from RefSeq and is a predicted model, not a curated record. NCBI's taxonomy places the organism in Eukaryota, Viridiplantae, Streptophyta, Magnoliopsida, Poales, Poaceae. The transcript is spliced from 3 exons.